This 229-nucleotide unclassified non-coding RNA is filed under the name plant metagenome. RNAcentral describes it as "partial contains small subunit ribosomal RNA, internal transcribed spacer 1, and 5.8S ribosomal RNA". The record is from RNAcentral.
CCUCCGUAGGUGAACCUGCGGAGGGAUCAUUACAGAGUUCAUGCCCUACCGGGUAGAUCUCCCACCCUAUGUUAUUAUUACUUUGUUGCUUUGGCGGGCCGUUAGGCUCCGGCCCGACUACCGGCCCCGGCUGGUAAGCGCCCGCCAGAGGACCCAAAACCCUGAAUAUUAGUGUCGUCUGAGUACUAUAUAAUAGUUGAAACUUUCAACAACGGAUCUCUUGGUUCUG